UUAAAAUAUUUUUUUUUUUUUUUUUUUUUUUUUUUUUUUUUUUUUUUGUUUUUUUUUUUUUUUUUUUUUUUUUUUGUUUUUUUUUUUUUUUUUUUUUUUUUUUUUUUUUUUUUUUUUAAAAACAACAAA
Molecule: long non-coding RNA, 129 nt
Organism: Musca vetustissima
Lineage: Eukaryota; Metazoa; Arthropoda; Insecta; Diptera; Muscidae
Exons: 2
Source: RefSeq, a predicted model, not a curated record